Molecule: ribosomal RNA, 591 nt
Filed under: uncultured bacterium
Lineage: Bacteria
Description: bacterial SSU rRNA
Rfam family: Bacterial small subunit ribosomal RNA
Source: RNAcentral
CGAUGCAUAUUUGGUGUAGGUCAUUCAGUUGAUCUGUGCCGGAGCUAACGCGUUAAAUAUGCCGCCUGGGGAGUACAGUCGCAAGGCUGAAACUCAAAGGAAUUGACGGGGGCCCGCACAAGCGGUGGAGCAUGUGGUUCAAUUCGACGCAACGCGAAGAACCUUACCUGGGCUCGAACGGCUGGUCAACGAUCGUGGAAACACGGUUACUCCGCAAGGGGGUCCAGUCGAGGUGCUGCAUGGCUGUCGUCAGCUCGUGUCGUGAGAUGUUGGGUUAAGUCCCGCAACGAGCGCAACCCUUGUCCUGUGUUGCCAUGCCGAAAGGCGGAACUCGCAGGAGACCGCCAGCGAUAAGCUGGAGGAAGGUGGGGAUGACGUCAAGUCCUCAUGGCCUUUAUGUCCAGGGCUACACACGUGCUACAAUGGCCGGUACAAAGCGCUGCUAAGUCGCAAGACGGAGCCAAUCGCAAAAAACCGGUCUCAGUUCGGAUUGCAGGCUGCAACUCGCCUGCAUGAAGCUGGAAUCGCUAGUAAUGGCAGAUCAGAACGCUGCCGUGAAUACGUUCCCGGGCCUUGUACUCACCGCCCGUC